RNAcentral lists this ribosomal RNA (430 nucleotides) under uncultured bacterium. Its description in RNAcentral is "bacterial SSU rRNA". It matches the Rfam family "Bacterial small subunit ribosomal RNA", at positions 355 to 776 of the family's 1533-position model. The record is from RNAcentral.
UGGGGAAUUGUUCGCAAUGGGCGCAAGCCUGACGACGCAACGCCGCGUGGAGGACGAAGAUCUUCGGGUCGUAAACUCCUUUCGAUCGGGAAGAAUGGCUUCCGGGUUAAUAGCCCGGAAGAAUGACGGUACCGAGAGAAGAAGCCCCGGCUAACUCUGUGCCAGCAGCCGCGGUAAUACAGGGGGGGCAAGCGUUGUUCGGAAUUACUGGGCGUAAAGGGCUCGUAGGCGGCCAACUAAGUCCGACGUGAAAUCCCAAAGCUUAACUUUGGAACUGCGUCGGAUACUGGAUGGCUUGAAUUCGGGAGAGGGAUGCAGAAUUCCAGGUGUAGCGGUGAAAUGCGUAGAUAUCUGGAGGAAUACCGGUGGCGAAGGCGGCAUCCUGGACCGAAAUUGACGCUGAGGAGCGAAAGCUAGGGGAGCAAACGGG